Molecule: long non-coding RNA, 931 nt
Organism: Hemiscyllium ocellatum (epaulette shark)
Lineage: Eukaryota; Metazoa; Chordata; Chondrichthyes; Orectolobiformes; Hemiscylliidae
Exons: 3
Source: RefSeq, a predicted model, not a curated record
CCUCGCGGACAGCGCGGCUGUGCGGGCGGAGAGCUGUCGGGUGCUUAAUGGUGAAGAUUUGCAGACUGAAAUCUCAAAAUCAUGUGCAGAUCGUGAUUAAGGUAACCAACAUUUGAAGAACCAAAGAUGGAGAAUAACUUGGCCAAAAUCCUGCACACUCUCCUCACAGCAUUGUCUGUCUCUCUGCACCAAAUGGACUGUGAAUGGCUCAAGACAGCAGCUCACUACCAUCUUCUCAAGGGUAACUAGAGAUGGGGAAUAAAUGCUGGCUGAGCCAGGAAUGCCCAUAUCCUGGAAAUGGUUUCUGUCUCUAGUUGCUGAAACCCAGUUGAUGUUACUGCAGGAUGAUGAGGGAUGCUGAGUGUAUCCUCCAGGAGGCAGCACCAUCACAUUACCCCUGCCUACACCCACACAGUAACACCGCAACGUCACUGGAACAAAAGGCAGUGAAACCAAAGGAGGACUUGGAUAUAGUUUUUCAAGUUAAAGUCAUAAAAGGGGAUUGGAACCCAGCAGGAACAGGAGACUGAGCUGGAUGGUCAGCUGUUUCCCAUUGAAUGGUGGAGCAGGAUUGAAAGGCCUCCUGCUGCUAUCUCUCAGGAUGCCCCACAACAGGAAGUGCUCUGACACUCAAUGCCCGUAAGUCAUGGUCAUUUUCCUAAAAUCACUCACGUCUGGCAAUAUCAUUGAAGAUAUUUUAUACAGUAACCUUUCGGUCUGAAUUGCCAGUUCCAGUCCAUGAAGCAGCCAGUUACAUGCCAGUGAAUUGAAUUCUAACAGCAGCAUUGCCCUGGCAGGAGAGAUUGAGGAGCUUGAAGCUGUCUUCUCUGGAGUAUCUAAACAUGAAACACUUCAAAUGAACAAAAAUCUUCAAGAGCUCGAGAGGAUAGAUACAGGAAGGAUGUGCUAGGCUGGUGUGCCUGGAAUAAAA